CAGAAACAGUCAGCGCGGAGAGGACUGUGCAGCAGCUUCCAGGAACUGCCUCACUCAUGCUUUGAUAUUCAUCCUCUGCAGAAAUCUGCUCAUCUCUGCAGCUUCAAAGCAGCACGCAGGAAUCAGAGAUGCUUACAUCAGCAGGAGACCUGGGAGAUGUUCUAUGGCAUCUCUGCCAUCGUACAGACUUCUCCAUCAAGGGCUUGAGCUGCAAAUAUGAAUAAAAAAAGUUCCCUGCUGUCAAGGUGAUCCUGGAUCAUCACAAGAGAGACAGCUGAUCUAAGCGAAGAGAGAAUGUAGCUCUGAUGGAGACAUAAGAUGUUGGGUUGAUACACAGUGAUGCCUUAUGGAACCCAAGGGCUGUCAAGCUUCGGGAGAUUCAGGAGCGCCGCGGGUCAUCCGAGGCCUAGGGCCAGCUUCACCUGGGAAGGAAUUCACGCAGCACACUCUCCCCUCCAGGGAGGGAAGGUGAAGCAAUGUAUUUUGAAAGCUGACUCCUCCCUGCUCUGGCAGAAAGUGGGUCAAAGGAGAAGCACAGUUUCUUCGCUGUUGCUCAGGCUCUCUCGUUUUAAAGGGUCGUGGAGGUUUCUCCUGUUGGGCUAUUAAAGGCAAUUUUGAGGAGAAUAAAGAAAAUAAGGAAAGAAAAAAUAGAAAAACUAAGAGGUUUUGGGGGAAAGGCUGGGGAUUCUAAGGAGAAAAGUUGGAGGUAGUGGCAAGAGGGGCUGUGGCCAAGAGACGCCAGGGGAGGGCCCCCAGGGGAGGGCCGUCUGGAGGCUGUUCUUGAGUUACAGUCCCACCAGCCUUCCCGUGUAGCUUGUGCAGUUUUCACUCCACAUUCUGGCUUUAUUUUCUAUAACAACUGAAUUCCAAGUGCCUAAUCCACUGGGGCUCCACACUCGAUACCCUGCCUCUUCUCCUGGCUCCCACCAUGGACUUGAGUUUAAAUCUGCAUCUGCAGGGCUUGUGAACACCAAGGUGUGGUGAUGGGGGCAGCGAAUGCCCAUUUGAUCCUCAAGUCAUCUCUCCAUGUAGGUGUCAGCCAAGACUGUCCCUUCCACAUACCAAAUCAUGCAGGUUGUGCCUCGAUGCCCCUCGUUCCUGUCUCUUGGUUCCUUCAAGUCCCAGGGCCCUUUCCAUUGCUAUUCCAUGCUCGGUCUCGAGGGCAUAGGAAUCCCUCUGAGGCAGGUUCUCCCUCUCUACAGCACUCAGGGCACAAAACCCGAUCUCUGGGCCUCAGUGACAUCUGUCCUUUUCCCUGUCCUUUCUUUCACCUGGCGUGAAGCAACUUUUUUCUGGUGUGGAGAAAGUCCCCUUUCCUCCAAUCUCCCUUUCAAACGUUUGGCUCUCUCCAACUCCUCUCAGUCCCACCAUGGGCUUUAGGCUUUUGGAAGCCACAGUUGGGAAGAAGUCUGUCUGUCCGUCCAUCUGUCUGUCCUCUCUCUAGCUUUCCAUCCUCAUAUCCCUUCCAAAUCGCAAUGGGCAUGAAAUAGACCACAUGCUUGGAAAUGGGCAAAAGAGAAAAAUACGUGGGAGAAAAUAGUUAAGCCUUCAAAAUAUUAUUCUGCACACACACACAGGUGGGAACCUCGUGUCAUCUGCCCAGAACUAAAGCAGAUGAACAUCUGGAAUCAGAAUCACCCGUGUGUGAGCUAAAAAUAUUGACUUCUGUGCCCCCCCCAAAGUCUGCUGAAUCAGAAUCUCUCCAGGUAAUUCUUUUUUUUUUUUUUUGAGGAAGAUUGGCCCUGAGCUAACAUCUGUUGCCAAUCUUCCUCUUUUUUUCCCCUUUUUUCUCCCCAAAGCCCCAGUGCAUAGUUGUAUAUCCUAGUUGUAGGUCAUUCUAGUUCUUCUAUGUGGGAUGCUGCCACAGCACGGCUUGACAAGCAGUGUGUAGGUCCAUGCCCAAGAUCCAAACGGGGGAACCCUGGGCCACUGAGCCAGAGCGUGUGAACUCAACCACUCAGCCAUGGGGUUGGCCCCUCCAGGUAAUUCUUAUGUGCACUAAACCUUGAGAAUUUCCUAGUCUUAGUCUCUGCUGAAUCAUCUACCCAGUUUUCAUAUUGAGUUGUGCUUGUUCCCAAGCUGGUUCUGAGUACUUUAAUGUGUGUACAAAUCACAUGGGGGGGUCUUGUUAAGUUGGGUGGGGGACCUGAGACUCUGCAUUUCUAACAAAUGUUCAGAUGCUGCUGCGGCUGCUGCUGGCUGGAGGACCACAUUUUGAGUGGCGAAGUGCUGGAGACUCUAUGUUGAUGUCCUGUGAGGCCUGUGAGGCCAUCUCGAGAUUUCUCAAGUCCUCGCUGCUGGCAGUUUGCUUGCACCGAGUUGGAGAUUGCUACACCCUCAUGGAGACUGUGCUUUGUUGACUGGGCUCUACCUAGGGCUCAUCCGGACUCGCUCCGCCUCCCUGCUUGUCCUGCCCUCCUGUCUCUGACCUGCUACUCCCACUCUGCCUCAAGGGCAACUCCACUGCCAUGCCCUGGUCUCCCUCACCCCAUGGGCCUCCUCUGACUGUAGAUAAAGAACCCAACAUCUCUAGAGAAUCUUUAAGUUUGCUAAUAUGGUAAAGUCCUUCUUCUUCCUGGGAGAAAAGGGGAAGUGAAACUUGAAGAAGCAGAUAAAGGUGAGUCAGGAAUUCACUUUUCUCUUUAGGUCCACCAUCUGUGGGGAAAGAUGUUCCAACUUCCUACACUAGCCUUGACUUUGAAAGAAGAACUGAGCCUGUGGGAACUCCUGCCCCUUUCUGAUAGGUGGAUGGAGAAGGGGAACCCCAUACUUGCUUGCUCGGUCUGUGUUUAUCCCUCAAGUCCUUGGGGAGUUGUAGAAUUUAAAAAGUGGUGAGAUUCUUCUCUGCAGCCAUGGAGAACUUCUGAUGUUCAAGCUAGCGUGGUUUCAAUCUCUGUUGGUUAAUAAUAAGACGGCAGGUCUAAAGCAGAGGUGCAGGGGAGGGCUGCCCGGUGAUGCUCUCCAGAUGUGGAGAAUCAUGUCACACUGAAAGCUCUAAUGCCUGAGUGAAGCCAGCAGUGGUCAGUGGACUGUAAUGCCAGUCAAUCCAGAAAGAGGCCCCUGACCAUGUGGCUGCUGACCUGUGGCUCUGGCCCAGAGUGAGACACCCUAGGCCUGGGAGGCUGACUGUGGAAGUCACUGGCCCUGUGGCCAGACAAACAAAGACAGCACUUUUCAGAGCAGUGGAACCCAAACUAGGGUCUACAGAAAGCCCCGUCACCUGGAGAAAUUUAAUAACAAAGAUUCCAAUGCUCACCCUAGACAGGCUGAUUCAGCAGGGCCCAGUGGGCUAUAUUUCAAAAACUACUCUUUGGGAAAUUUUUGACAUACAGGUUUGGGAACCAAUGCCUUAGCACGUGAUUUGCUAAGUUUUUAGCAGAAAAAUUAAUCCACUAGAUAAAUACUUAUUGAACAACUGCUAUAUGCCAUGAAUUGUUCUAAGCUCUGGGCAAGCAGUGGUGAAUCAGACUGACAAGGUCUUGUUAGAGCUCCAAAACAGGAAACAGAUAAAAAGGAGGAGUGGAUUUUUUAGGAAUUUUAAAUAUUCCUUGUUUGGCAGAAAAUGCUGUUUUUUGCUAAACCCCUAAAGCACCGUCACAUUCUGUGGCACACAGUUCAAGAACCACUGCCUUGGAGGCCUGGGAAGCAAUUUAGAGUAAUAAAACCAGCACAGGCUUUCAGUUUCCGGUGGAUUAGCUGGGGACACCUUACGGUCUUCUUGUGAGUAACAAAAGAACCAAACACAUAAAGCAUAGAGGACAGUGCUCGGCCCGCCGCUGGCCCUUGCUGCAUUUUCAUUCUCUUUCUUCUGCAGCGGGUUACCUAGGCGAGAGGGCAAGUUGGGAGCAGAAACAAGAACACACCUGUAAGUGUGUUGCAAUAGGGACCUGAGGAUCAGGUGGGAUAAUCAGGAGCACAAAAUGCAGAGGCCAAGAAAAGGCUCUUCCACCACCACGGUGAGGAGCGACCACAGGUGAAAAAUGGGGCAGCUGCCGCGGGAACCAGUCUAGGAGUUCCUCAGAAAAGGUAAACAUAGCGUCAGCAUAGGACCCUUCCAGUCCACUCUUAGGUAUAUACCCAAGAGAAAGGAAGACACAUGUCUACACCAAAACCUGUACACAAUUCACAACAGCACUAGUCAUAAUAGCCAAAAAGUAGAAACAACCCAAAGGUCCAUCAAGUGAUGAAUGGACAAACAAAAUAUGAUAUAUUUGUACAGUGGAAUAUUAUUCAGCCACAAAAAGGAGAGAAAUAUUGAUACAUGCAACAUCACGGAUGAAUCUCGAAAACAUUAUGGAAGUGAAAGAAGCCAGUCACAGAAGAC
This is a long non-coding RNA of Equus asinus (donkey), 4324 nucleotides long. NCBI's taxonomy places the organism in Eukaryota, Metazoa, Chordata, Mammalia, Perissodactyla, Equidae. The record is from Ensembl.